Molecule: ribosomal RNA, 743 nt
Filed under: Leptolaimus sp. 64L27C15
Lineage: Eukaryota; Metazoa; Nematoda; Chromadorea; Plectida; Leptolaimidae
Description: bacterial SSU rRNA
Rfam family: Eukaryotic small subunit ribosomal RNA (bases 327-743)
Source: RNAcentral
UGGAUGUGGUAGCCGUUUCUCAGGCUCCCUCUCGGGAGUCAAACCCUUUUCUCCGUUACCCGUUACAACCCCUGUAGCGCAGAACCCACCAUGAAAGUUGAUAAGCAGACACCUGAAAGAUGGCGUCAGUACAAAGACCGUACGCUCAGCAAAGUUAUUUAGAGUCACAAACGAACAGCCGAAGCCCGAUUGUUUUGUUCUAAUAAAUGCGCUCGUCCCUUGCGUCGAGCUUGGCGUGUAUUAGCUCCAGAAUUGCCACAGUUAUCCCAGUUGGAUACCGUACAGAUCAAGUGAACAGUGGCUGUUGUAUUGAGCCCUUCGCGGUUUUCCUGAUUUCAGGUUCUACUUAGUCUUUCAGAUUAAGCCAUGCAAGUCUAAGUAGAACCUGAAAUCAGGAAAACCGCGAAUGGCUCAUUACAACAGCCACUGUUCACUUGAUCUGUACAGUAUCCUACUUGGAUAACUGUGGCAAUUCUAGAGCUAAUACACGCACCCAAGCUCCGACCGCAAGGGACGAGCGCAUUUAUUAGAACAAAACCAAUCGGGCUUCGGCCUGUUCGUUUGUGACUCUGAAUAACUUUGCUGAGCGUACAGUCUUUGUACUGACGCCACAUCUUUCAAGUGUCUGCCUUAUCAACUUUCGAUGGUAGGUUCUGCGCCUACCAUGGUUGUAACGGGUAACGGAGAAUAAGGGUUUGACUCCGGAGAGGGAGCCUGAGAAACGGCUACCACAUCCAAGGAAG